Ailuropoda melanoleuca (giant panda) is the source of this 717-nucleotide long non-coding RNA. RefSeq lists it as uncharacterized. The transcript is spliced from 3 exons. NCBI's taxonomy places the organism in Eukaryota, Metazoa, Chordata, Mammalia, Carnivora, Ursidae. The record is from RefSeq and is a predicted model, not a curated record.
GCAAGACUGCUACUGCUUGCACACAUAACAGAAGAAUCCACAGAAGGCUCUAGUGUCUUUUGUAUCUUUCCACAUCACACGACGGUUUCAUUUCAAGCCAUUUGCUUUGGAUGAGGAUGAUAAAGGGCAGCGAUUAAAACACAAGAGCAAAAAUCGGAAAUGACCACCACAGGCAAUGGAGCAAUCGCAAAGAAAAGAACCACAAACCAAAGCAGUAACUUACGGUAGCUACUUUCGCUAUCGCUGGCAUUAGAAGAAACAUGUUCUGCAAGAACAGCACAGCAAAUUAAAGAAAUACCAAGCACUGGAGAGCAGCCAGAACGUGAAGGAGUAACACUCAUGCAAGGCUACUACAAGUGGGAUGAAGAAUGCAAUCCUAGCAGGAGAUACUACAUUUGACAGCAAUAUCCAUUACUUGAAGACUCCAAAGGAGUGGGAUACUAAUACCUCCUCCAUCAGGGGCUAUUGUAGUGCUGAAUGCAACCGUGCAUGUAUGGGCUUAGCCAUGGGGGCAUCCUGGAGGCAAACAGCGGUGUGAGAACGGAGUCUUCACCUAACACCAAGCCCAUACAAUUCAAAAGAAACUUCCACAUCGCAGGCGCUACCAGGUUUACAUAGCAGGUGAAGAUUUAGUAUUACUGAAGCAUCACCAACUACAUUAGCAUUGUGAUUUUGAAUUUUGUUGCUGUAAUAUAGAAAUACUAAAUAUAUAUGGCA